Molecule: long non-coding RNA, 442 nt
Filed under: Pongo abelii (Sumatran orangutan)
Lineage: Eukaryota; Metazoa; Chordata; Mammalia; Primates; Hominidae
Description: lincRNA
Source: RNAcentral
UCUAGAAGUUAACACGUUCCAGGUGAUGUCUCUAUGUAAACCAAGGGUUGGUUUUCAGUGUUCUGGAGGCUGGGUCAUCCAAGGUCAAGGUGCUGACAGAUGGAUUGUCCCUGGAAAGCCUGCUUCAUAGAUGACAAUCUUCUCCCUGUGUUCUCAGGAGUGAGGGUACCUUUCUGGUGCCUUUUUUCAUAAGGACACUAAUCCCGUUCCUGAGGGCUCUACUCUCAUAACAUAACAUCCAGAAGGUCCUACAUUCUAAUAUCAUCACACUGCAGCUUGGGUCCUGAUAUGAGAGAUGUAUGGAGAAAAUACCUAAAUCUACCUUAUAACCUGGAGCAGAACCACCACAGCCUCAGACAUGUAACAAUUAUGGUGUUUACUCUCUUGCACAAUUUUAUUUUAGUUAUUCAGAAACCUCAGCAAAUAAAAAUCUUUUUGGAAA